Molecule: non-coding RNA, 4103 nt
Organism: Miniopterus natalensis
Lineage: Eukaryota; Metazoa; Chordata; Mammalia; Chiroptera; Miniopteridae
Source: RefSeq, a predicted model, not a curated record
AUUCUAAUUCUAUUCUGUGGGCGCAUUUUGCUCACAAAUAUUCAUUCAACAAACAUUUAUUGAGCACAGCCUAUGGGCCAGACACUGUAGUAGGUACUAGGUUUAAAGUUUGACUCAAUACUGUCACUGUGGGCCAGUCAAGUCUUCAAAAAUUCCACUUCCUCACGCACCCAGACAAGCACUGCUGCUCUUUCCCAUUUCCCAGUUUGUGGGUGAAGGUUAGAGAAGAAACUGUUUAUCUUCUAAAAUGUAAUGCUCUCUAAUCUUGGAAGAAGAAAAAAAUGGUGAGGAGAUAAAUAGGCUAGCCAUCCAGAUUUACUUUUUUGUAAUUUCAAACAGUGCCACAUUCCCACUGAGUUCUCAAUAGACAUCUAGGGUCCAGGGGACUGCAAAAGACCAUCAGAACGCACAGCAGUCUCCAAGAGGCCUGCCCCUCACUCCCAAGCACAGUAGGGCACCAGGUCCCCAUCCUUGGCCAAUGGAUAGCAAACAUUAUACUUGGGUCCUGACAAAACCUUUUACCGUGUAAACAAAGAUGCUGAAUUCAGUUGUCAUGUUACACAAGUAACAUGUGCUCUUUUUCUAUCACAACAUUUUAGGGCAGAAGAAAAAACACAUACCCAGAAGAGAGUGUGAGUCACUUUAUUACAGAUAAACUUUAGAAGUUCUCUUCGACUUUUUAAAAAACCACUUUUCAUCUGAAAUGAAGUUAUAUACAUUUUGCUUCGCAAAUCACUGUGUGGAGAUGAUUCUGAGACGCAACGCCUGAAAAGGCCAUGGAGUCGAAGGGCAUUCUAUUAGUGAGUUUAGAUUAUAUGAACCAAUUUAAUGUUUGAAUGGGUAAAAAAAGACGGCUUUAAAAAACAUAAGAAGGGUUGUCAAAGAAAAAGAUGUCUUACAGUUUAGAAAAAUCAUGAAGUAAAGACUGUCCACUUUCAGUUCAAGACGAGAGCUUCUGCCGGUACAUCAGCACGGCUGUCACAGGUGAUGUGACAUUUAGUGUUCCGUGUGGCGUUUUACAAUUUUUACAUGGCCAAAGCAGCAAAAACUGUGUUAUUAUUUAUCCAGUAGGACUAUAUAGAAUGCAUGAAAGACCUUGAUAUGAGGCAGUGCCAUAGAGGAGAGGAAUACAACGUGGCUGUGUUCACACACUCGAGCCUGGGCCUGCAGAGCUGGUUUCUCCACAGCGAUUUCCAAGCCAAGGAGUAAAUCCUAUAACCAGCAAUAGUGAAACAGCACUGGAAAAAGAAUCAGGGAUGGCAUUUUAAAGAAACAGUGUAUAAGAAACUAGAAAACCUGCCAGACUUUUAACAAAAAGAAGAGCAAAUAAAGCCCAUGAAUGUUUAGAAAGCAAAGAUGAUAAAAUCUGGGGAGCAUGAGAAGGUGAAGUGCCUCUCACCCAGCAUAACUAAAAAAAAAUCCUAUUUUCUUAGAUGCAGCCUAGCAUGUAUAUUAAUACAACCCCCUCUCCCCCCAAACCACAGUACCCUUUAACUUCAUGAGUGAUGGAUAGCAAGAAAACAUAGCAGAGUUUCCCAACUCUAAUGGAAAUGGUCAAAUCUUAUUUAGUCCACAAGUAUUUAUGAAAAAUCUAUGUAAAAGGCAAUGUGAGUUACAAGUUACACAAGAGGGCCCCUAUCCUAAGGUAGCUUAGAUCAAGAGAUGAAACAAGUAAAGAGAUAACCACAGUACUAGGCAGCAUAUGACAAGUGCCCAAGAAGGCUGCAUCCCCAGGUGUGGGGGGAGAAGGGCUGCAGGAAGGCAUCCUGGAGAAGGUAUAGACGGAAGGGAGCAGCCUCCAGGGACAAGAAUGGGCCCAGCCCCUACUUGGCAGAGUUCUUCUGGAACCAAAGACCCCAGGCAGGAAAUGUGGUCUGUGUGCAGAGAAGUAGUGUAGCCCUUCUGACCAUGCCCGCUGGGAAGGGAGACCCUCACCAGUUCCAGAAGGCAGAAGAAGGGUUUGGGGAGGCACAGAGAGGAGACUUUGGGAAUAUUAUACAAGUUGGGGGGGUAUCUAGGGGCUCUUAGACCAGCUCAGGAACGAGGCACUGUGGCCUGCACUGGGGUGGCGGCUGAGAGAAUGUAAGGACAGAGUAGAGGGGAGAGGCAUUGAAAUCACGGGGGAGAACUGGGAGGAAGGGAAGGAAGAAAACAAGCAUGACCAAGUCAGUGGUGUCUCAUGUGCUUUACCUGCAUGUCUUAUGUAAUUAAUCCUCACUACAUCUUUUCAGGGAGAGGCAGGGACUAUUCUCACAGGUUUUCAAGGAAGAGAAGUGAGGAUUAGGGAGGUUAAGUGAUUGACAGAGAUUUCCCCACCAGGAGUGAGAAAGCCAAAAUUUCAAAGUGAGGCUGCAUCCAAUUAGACUGCAAUUUCUCAUUAAUAAGGCUCUCUCAAUCCAGGCAGGGAACCUCUAAAGGGUAGAAAAGGUGUUUUUAGAUCCCCAGGGGCCAGCAUACUGUCAGCACAAGUUGAGGCUCAAAAAAUGCUAAACAGCUCAAUGCCCGGUGAUAUUAAGUGAGAAACAGGACAUACACACCUAGCUGGAGUGAGGGUGGGCUCAGUGUGGAAGCCAGGCAAACUCUCCUACUUUAUACUUUCUUGCCCCAAGAUCAUCUCUGCCUUUGCUGUGUGCCCUUGGGAACAGGCCCUGUGCUCAAAAAGGGGUGGGGGGCUGUAAAGCCCCUACUCUCAUGGAGUUUACAGUCCCACAGAACAAAAACAACAUUACAGCAGUAGCUGUAAUAUAAUGGGAAGUUGGGUUUUAUGAGAGGACAAGUACAGAUGAAGUACAGUUAGAGGUGGUGAUUAUCUGUGGGGUUCAGGGCAGGCUUCCUGGAGAAGUUGGUACUUGGAUCCCACAUUGCACUUCAGGAGCGGGCACCUCACUCACUCCUUGUUUUCCCUCGAAGCUGCCCUUGGAGGUGAUCUGAAAAUUAUGGGGCACUAGAGACAAGGAGAGGUAGGGGAAGAGUGAAGAGACACUCAAGUAGCCUGACCCAAACCCCUGUAGGGUUAAUCCUGUUUCCAUUUCCAAGGUAAAAUGAGCUGUGAUGUCACGGAAACCCAGCUCCUCCACUAACUGGCUCUGAGCUCUUGUUCCUUGUCUGUAAAACAGAUGAUUUCUUUCAGGUCUGGGCUGCUACAGAGGGAUUAAUAACACAAAUAACUCUAACAAUUGACCUCUUAAAUCAGGAACUUAAAUCAGACCUAAGCACUUUACCUGCUUUAUCACAUCUAAUGUGCAAAACUCUCGUGAGUAGGUAUUAUUUCCAUCUCCAUUGUACAAAGGAGGAACCAGAGCCUGAGACAUCAGAUAACUUGCCCAAGAUCAAGAUCACCCAGCCUUGCUCUCAUGGCCACUCCACGCUGUAGAAAGUGCCAGCAAGCUGUAAAGAAUACAGCUGGAAAGGGGGCAGCGUUAUUUUCUACACUCUAGGUGCUGACUACAUAGAACCCACGGCUCUGCUGGAAAAUGCAGGGCUGCAAGUGCCAAUUCAGUGGAUUUUAAGUCAAAUGAGCCAGAGCCCCCACCUGAGCCUCUUUGGCUGGGCAGGAAGCUGGGACAGUGGCCUGACAGCAGGACUCAUGGACCAGGCUGAAAGAAGCCCCCUCCUCCUCCUUCAGCUCUGUGGCCUGCACCAGCUAUUUCCCAAAACGAGGAGCUGGUGUCAUGACUUUCAUGCCAAGAUUUUUCUCAGGUAAGCAGAUAGGAUUUUUAUGUGCAACUAAGAGUAGAUCUAAAAUUACGUUGGGACUAAUAUAUAUGCAAAAGGAGUAACCUCAACUUUUGAGGGGUGGACAGAACACUUCUGAAUUAUUUUGAUAGUUCAGUCCAGUGAAGGAUCUAAUGUCUAUCUUCAUCACCCCCAACCCCAACAAAGAAAGAGUCCCCCUUUUGUAGCAAGCUAAGGAUAUCAGAGCCCUUAUCCCACUGAGUGAUUCUGUGUAUUUACCUGUAUUUGUUAUUGUAAUUGUUUUGUCUGUUUCCUAUCAGAGUUCAGUAAUAACUCUAAGAGCUGUUUAUUCCUUUUGAUGAUCUAGAUUUAGUAAAAUGCUUGAUAUAUAGUAAUUUUUAGAUAAAUAUUUGUUAAAUGAAUGCAAA